Molecule: long non-coding RNA, 254 nt
Filed under: Mytilus galloprovincialis (Mediterranean mussel)
Lineage: Eukaryota; Metazoa; Mollusca; Bivalvia; Mytilida; Mytilidae
Source: RNAcentral
GCCCAUUGUAGUUAUUUUUAUCCCGGGUUUUAUAAAUAAUUGAAAAUAGCAAUCAUAUUAAAUUUGGAUGACGUAAGGGGGUCAAAGGACUUGAGGAAUCAAUAUCAUUGGCUGUUUUAUUUUUUUGCGAACGUUACUGUUCGAGGUUUCCGUCCAAAUCAGUGUCACGUGAGCAACAUAUAUUUAUAUCUGUAACUCUCCUGUAUAGGAGUUACGAUAUCGCCCUUUGCAGAAAUAGAUUCGGAGUCAGUUCC